This 55-nucleotide transfer RNA is filed under the name Mucochytrium quahogii. Its description in RNAcentral is "labyrinthulid quahog parasite QPX partial tRNA". It matches the Rfam family "tRNA", at positions 15 to 67 of the family's 71-position model. Rfam says of the family: Transfer RNA (tRNA) molecules are approximately 80 nucleotides in length. Lineage: Eukaryota; Bigyra; Thraustochytrida; Thraustochytriidae. The record is from RNAcentral.
UUUGGUAGCGUAUUUGCUUUGGGAGCAAAAAGUCGUAUGUUCAAGUCAUACUAUU